Molecule: long non-coding RNA, 1330 nt
Organism: Pungitius pungitius (ninespine stickleback)
Lineage: Eukaryota; Metazoa; Chordata; Actinopteri; Perciformes; Gasterosteidae
Exons: 2
Source: RefSeq, a predicted model, not a curated record
UGGUUUCUUGUUUUCGCCGCCCUCGAUGAAGUCAGCAGAAUAAUUUGCGAUGCUGAUUGACGACGACAUUGGCAGUUUUAGUGCCUUGAGUGCCCUGCAAAAACUGCAGGUGGUUCUCUUGUGGUCUUCCUCCACCCAAAGCUAAUCUCUCUUCCAUCUUUCGAUGGUCGAUUGGGUGCAUGGAUUUUUUUCUUUUGAACCAGAGGUGGUGACGGAGGCUGGAUUUGCUCUCCAUUGCUCACAGGUUUGAUUUGGAAGCGCUGCUUUUUUCUUCCCACACAGGCAACAUCAGUCAAGGAGCACUUUUCACAAGCUGCUGAUGCACCCCCUCUCGAAAGAUAUUCUAUCCUCGAACAGGCUGGUUUGCGUGGUAAGAAUGAGGGUGCAACGUUCACAUCUUGAAUGUUUUUUGUAUGUGAAGGAAAAUUCUUUUUGAUCGGUUGAUUCAGAAGACGAUUUUACAGAGAAAAUGUUGCCAGACGAACAAUGCUCAUGAGACCGAGUCUAUGCCUUUAACUAUGGCCACAUGGAAAGAUCAAAUCGGCCAACUAAAAUAAACUUGGACUGUGAAGGUAAUGGCAUUGGAUUAAAUGCUGCACACCAUUUGUUUAAUAACAAACACACCGUUGAUUUUUGGUGAUGUUAUUCCUCAGGGAAUCCUGCAUUGGUAUUUGUUACUGUUGCUUCUGCAGAUCAUCAACAUUGUGUUCUCCCCCUCAGUCACAGAGGGUAUGACUGUGUUUUUGAAACACCCCAUGAAAGAUCAUCAUCAGCUGUUUAAGGAGCUCUACCCAUCCAAAAAGUUUUCUUAUUGUUAAAAGACUACAAGUCAACGUUUAUUGAACAGUUUCAUGCCUACAGAUUAUUUGACAAAGCAUCUAAUCAUGUAUGGAUAGUGAACAAACACAACUUGACUCAUUUUUUUACAUAGUUGCAAUAAAUGAACUUGUUUGAAACAUUUGAUUUAGUUAUUUAGCCUAUAAAAGAAUAGUAUAUUUUAUCAGAAUGAAUGUAUAUUUUUAAACUAGACAUGGCUUACCAUUGAUGAGUUAAAGAUGACAUUAAAAUGUUGUAUUUUCAAUUUAAAGAUGUUAUUGCAGUGUAUGUUUACUUAGAAAAUUUGAGUCAAUUUCAAUUGAAAAUGUAACAGAAUGACAAUGUUAACAAAGUAUAUAUACAUGUCUUAUGGUGCUGAAAUUUUUUUCAUAUUUUUACAAAAAUGUAUAUUUUCACACUAUUGUUAAGAUGCGAUUACAUUGGAGACUGCAUUGUAUUAUUCAAUUGUAUGUUAUUAAAAUAUAUUAAAAAUGUAUGUUCAAAUAAAUUCAUA